UACGUAGGAGACGAGCGUUGUCCGGAAUUACUGGGCGUAAAGCGCGUGUAGGCGGAUGGGCAAGUCUGCUGUGAAAGCUCCUGGCUUAACCGGGAGUGGUCGGUGGAAACUGCCAAUCUGGAGGACGGUAGAGGUAGGUAGAAUUCCCGGUGUAGUGGUGAAAUGCGUAGAGAUCGGGAGGAACACCAGUGGCGAAGGCGACACGCUGGGCCGUACCUGACACUGAUGCGCGACAGCAUGGGGAGCAAACAGG
RNAcentral lists this ribosomal RNA (253 nucleotides) under uncultured bacterium. RNAcentral's name for it is "partial 16S ribosomal RNA". It matches the Rfam family "Bacterial small subunit ribosomal RNA", at positions 524 to 776 of the family's 1533-position model. The record is from RNAcentral.